Molecule: ribosomal RNA, 428 nt
Filed under: Bacillota bacterium
Lineage: Bacteria; Bacillati; Bacillota
Description: Firmicutes bacterium partial 16S ribosomal RNA
Rfam family: Bacterial small subunit ribosomal RNA
Source: RNAcentral
UGGGGAAUUUUGGACAAUGGGCGAAAGCCUGAUACAGCAAUGCCGCGUGUGUGAAGAAGGCCUUCGGGUUGUAAAGCACUUUUGUCCGGAAAGAAAUGGCUCUGGUUAAUACCUGGGUCGAUGACGGUACCGGAAGAAUAAGGACCGGCUAACUACGUGCCAGCAGCCGCGGUAAUACGUAGGGUCCAAGCGUUAAUCGGAAUUACUGGGCGUAAAGCGUGCGCAGGCGGUUGUGCAAGACCGAUGUGAAAUCCCCGAGCUUAACUUGGGAAUUGCAUUGGUGACUGCACGGCUAGAGUGUGUCAGAGGGGGGUAGAAUUCCACGUGUAGCAGUGAAAUGCGUAGAGAUGUGGAGGAAUACCGAUGGCGAAGGCAGCCCCCUGGGAUAACACUGACGCUCAUGCACGAAAGCGUGGGGAGCAAACAGG